Molecule: ribosomal RNA, 585 nt
Filed under: Candida tropicalis
Lineage: Eukaryota; Fungi; Ascomycota; Pichiomycetes; Serinales; Debaryomycetaceae
Description: eukaryotic LSU rRNA
Rfam family: Eukaryotic large subunit ribosomal RNA
Source: RNAcentral
CAGGUCAAUGCCUUAGUAGCGGCGAGUGAGCGGCAAAAGCUCAAAUUUGAAAUCUGGCUCUUUCAGAGUCCGAGUUGUAAUUUGAAGAAGGUAUCUUUGGGUCUGGCUCUUGUCUAUGUUUCUUGGAACAGAACGUCACAGAGGGUGAGAAUCCCGUGCGAUGAGAUGAUCCAGGCCUAUGUAAAGUUCCUUCGAAGAGUCGAGUUGUUUGGGAAUGCAGCUCUAAGUGGGUGGUAAAUUCCAUCUAAAGCUAAAUAUUGGCGAGAGACCGAUAGCGAACAAGUACAGUGAUGGAAAGAUGAAAAGAACUUUGAAAAGAGAGUGAAAAAGUACGUGAAAUUGUUGAAAGGGAAGGGCUUGAGAUCAGACUUGGUAUUUUGUAUGUUACUUCUUCGGGGGUGGCCUCUACAGUUUAUCGGGCCAGCAUCAGUUUGGGCGGUAGGAGAAUUGCGUUGGAAUGUGGCACGGCUUCGGUUGUGUGUUAUAGCCUUCGUCGAUACUGCCAGCCUAGACUGAGGACUGCGGUUUAUACCUAGGAUGUUGGCAUAAUGAUCUUAAGUCGCCCGUCUUGACCCCCCGAAACCA